RNAcentral lists this long non-coding RNA (683 nucleotides) under Medicago truncatula (barrel medic). RNAcentral describes it as "lncRNA gene36618". Lineage: Eukaryota; Viridiplantae; Streptophyta; Magnoliopsida; Fabales; Fabaceae. The record is from RNAcentral.
AGAUAAAAGUACAAAAAUUAUUAUGGAAAAAUGCAUUUAAUUUUUUCAGAUAUCAACGACGUACAUAGGCAUCAUGCAUAAUACAUGAGGAAAUCUCAGCUAAGUAAGACCUCAAAGAAACAUAUUAUUAAAAAAAUAAAAAAUUGGGUAGACUAUGCCAAAACCCAAGGAAACAAACAACUGCCUCAUUAAAAACCUUAACAAGAAAAUCUAUUGAGAUAAAACUUGAUGAAGGAAAAAAGAGUGCAGCAUACACAUAAAAUUAAAUUUAAAAGCUAGAUAAACAUAAUUUAUAUUUUUAAGUAAAGAAAAAAAGUAGAAAUAAUGUGAUAUCCCCUGGUUUCGAUUGUGCAAUUAUGGCCCUUCAUAUGAACCUUCAAUAUACCACCCACAAAAACCAUCAAAACACUUUGUAUGGCAAGGACUAAUCACCUUCGGACAGUUAGCGUCAGAAGUGCAAGGAAUGGUAACUACGUUGCCAAAUAAAGGGAAAAAAAUGUUACUAAAAUGUGAUAAAAUAGGGUGAUAACAAAUUUAGAAAAAAUUAAAAUGGUGUGAAAAAUGCUUACGCAUUCUAGUUUCAGUCCUCUCAAACGCCGCUUCACCAAAAAAUAAAGAAAGAAAGAUAAUCAAAGAAUAAACAAACAGAAGAAAUUGAGCCAUAUGUUUCAUCCUUUGAACGU